GCUGGCGGCGUGCCUAAUACAUGCAAGUCGAGCGAACAGAUAAGGAGCUUGCUCCUUUGACGUUAGCGGCGGACGGGUGAGUAACACGUGGGUAACCUACCUAUAAGACUGGGAUAACUUCGGGAAACCGGAGCUAAUACCGGAUAAUAUUUCGAACCGCAUGGUUCGAUAGUGAAAGAUGGUUUUGCUAUCACUUAUAGAUGGACCCGCGCCGUAUUAGCUAGUUGGUAAGGUAACGGCUUACCAAGGCGACGAUACGUAGCCGACCUGAGAGGGUGAUCGGCCACACUGGAACUGAGACACGGUCCAGACUCCUACGGGAGGCAGCAGUAGGGAAUCUUCCGCAAUGGGCGAAAGCCUGACGGAGCAACGCCGCGUGAGUGAUGAAGGUCUUCGGAUCGUAAAACUCUGUUAUU
RNAcentral lists this ribosomal RNA (416 nucleotides) under Staphylococcus haemolyticus. RNAcentral's name for it is "bacterial SSU rRNA". It matches the Rfam family "Bacterial small subunit ribosomal RNA", at positions 35 to 440 of the family's 1533-position model. Lineage: Bacteria; Bacillati; Bacillota; Bacilli; Caryophanales; Staphylococcaceae. The record is from RNAcentral.